This 31-nucleotide non-coding RNA is filed under the name Mus musculus (house mouse). The record is from RNAcentral. Lineage: Eukaryota; Metazoa; Chordata; Mammalia; Rodentia; Muridae.
UUCAUAGAGUGAUGCCCGUGACAUUAACAGC